Molecule: ribosomal RNA, 254 nt
Filed under: Salmonella enterica
Lineage: Bacteria; Pseudomonadati; Pseudomonadota; Gammaproteobacteria; Enterobacterales; Enterobacteriaceae
Description: partial 16S ribosomal RNA
Rfam family: Bacterial small subunit ribosomal RNA
Source: RNAcentral
AAAUUGAAGAGUUUGAUCAUGGCUCAGAUUGAACGCUGGCGGCAGGCCUAACACAUGCAAGUCGAACGGUAGCACAGAGAGCUUGCUCUCGGGUGACGAGUGGCGGACGGGUGAGUAAUGUCUGGGAAACUGCCUGAUGGAGGGGGAUAACUACUGGAAACGGUGGCUAAUACCGCAUAACGUCGCAAGACCAAAGAGGGGGACCUUCGGGCCUCUUGCCAUCAGAUGUGCCCAGAUGGGAUUAGCUGGUUGGU